AUCUCCUUAGUAUUAAAUUAGUACGGAUGACUUCCAAUCAUCUAGUCUUGGUUAGACCCCAAGAAGAGAUA
Molecule: transfer RNA, 71 nt
Filed under: Opsarius bernatziki
Lineage: Eukaryota; Metazoa; Chordata; Actinopteri; Cypriniformes; Danionidae
Description: tRNA-Gly
Rfam family: tRNA
About the family: Transfer RNA (tRNA) molecules are approximately 80 nucleotides in length. Their secondary structure includes four short double-helical elements and three loops (D, anti-codon, and T loops).
Source: RNAcentral